UACAAGCUAUGAAGUUAAACAAACGAAGUAAACUAAUAUAUACAUAUUUACUGCAAAAUGGGAUUUUGAGUGAUGAUAACGAGUGCCUAUGCUGAGUGUAGUUUUCCCAAUUAUCGCCCUGUUCCUACACGGAAAAUCAUAGGACAAGGAUAAACUGUAAAUCCCAGAUACAUUACGCUGCCGAGAUAGUGAGUCAACAGCGGUUCAACGUCUCGUGGAAUCCCCAGAGUCGGUCACGACUUUGACGCAAUACCAGUUGCUAGAGCUCUGCAGACAUGUUGCGUCUGUCAGGCUUGCUAAGUCGCUUAGACGAUUUUCUCUCGUCAGCUCAAGAGUUGGAUGGCAGGUUGGACUCAGGGGAUGUGCAGCCAGAUUGGCGGAAGAUUACGGCUCACUACUGCGGCCCACAGCAUCCAACCCUUAACCGGCGAAUGGCCAGCCAAUAGCUGAAUGCCUCCAGCUAAGGGAUUUAAGGGAGAGACGUCGACAACGACACACUGGCACCGUGUACAGCAUCCGUACACCCUUGAUACACGGCUUCGGAGGACCGACUGACGGACACUAAGACGAUUUCAAAGCUAAGAUAUAUGCCUGCCUCCUGUCAACAGGUGGACAGCGUCUGAUGCUCAAUGGUUCCAGGCGCCUGAUCGGAACCCCGACGAUCCGGUCUGCCAUUGCCAGUGUUCGGCCCCCUGGAACUGGGAUAUCACUGAUAGACCUCAUAGACUUUUCGUCUCCCUUUGCAUUUCCUGCUCAUACUGCUGGAUCGUACGAGCCAUGAAUCACCACGCAUUGCUGCUGCUGCUGCUGCUGCUGCUCUUGAUAUUAAUUAUACUAAUGGCAAUACUACCGAGUCAUCAAUACGAAAUUAUACCUAUAUCGACGCUUCCACACUUGUGCGUUAUGUGGUACGACGGAUUUUGGCAUUAGGCAUAUAUUGCGAGG
Varroa destructor (honeybee mite) is the source of this 945-nucleotide long non-coding RNA. Lineage: Eukaryota; Metazoa; Arthropoda; Arachnida; Mesostigmata; Varroidae. The record is from RefSeq and is a predicted model, not a curated record.